Non-coding RNA from Erinaceus europaeus (western European hedgehog), 106 nucleotides. Lineage: Eukaryota; Metazoa; Chordata; Mammalia; Eulipotyphla; Erinaceidae. The record is from Rfam.
GUGUUUGCUACAGCAGCACAUAUACUAAAAAUUGGAACGGUACAGAGAAGAUUAGCAAGGCCCCUAAACAAAGAUAACAUGCAAACUCAUGGUGUUCCAUAUUUUU